This 439-nucleotide ribosomal RNA is filed under the name uncultured bacterium. RNAcentral's name for it is "partial 16S ribosomal RNA". It matches the Rfam family "Bacterial small subunit ribosomal RNA", at positions 339 to 795 of the family's 1533-position model. The record is from RNAcentral.
CUACGGGAGGCAGCAGUGAGGAAUAUUGCACAAUGGGGGGAACCCUGAUGCAGCAACGCCGCGUGGAGGAUGACGCAUUUCGGUAUGUAAACUCCUUUUAUAUGUCAAGAAAAUGACGGUAGCAUAUGAAUAAGCACCGGCUAACUCCGUGCCAGCAGCCGCGGUAAUACGGAGGGUGCAAGCGUUACUCGGAAUCACUGGGCGUAAAGGACGCGUAGGCGGGUUGGAAAGUCAGGUGUGAAAUCCUACAGCUUAACUGUAGAACUGCACUUGAAACUUCUAAUCUAGAGUAUGGGAGGGGGAGAUGGAAUUAGUGGUGUAGGGGUAAAAUCCGUAGAUACCACUAGGAAUACCUAAAGCGAAGGCGAUCUCCUGGAACAUUACUGACGCUAAGGCGUGAAAGCGUGGGGAGCAAACAGGAUUAGAUACCCGAGUAGUC